GCCGCGCGACGAGGCGCAGAAGAAAGCAGCGGGGGGGGCGGUCAGCACCCUGCCAGUGGGCGGCUGACUGCCGAGAAACAAAACACUGGCUACGCUCGUAGGCACCGAUGCUUAAGCCUUCCCGGACGCGGGUUCAAUUCCCGCCGCCUCCACCA
This 155-nucleotide transfer-messenger RNA is filed under the name Armatimonadota bacterium. RNAcentral's name for it is "Armatimonadetes bacterium (hot springs metagenome) partial transfer-messenger RNA". It matches the Rfam family "transfer-messenger RNA", at positions 219 to 374 of the family's 374-position model. Rfam says of the family: Bacterial tmRNA, also known as 10Sa RNA or SsrA, is named for its dual tRNA and mRNA-like properties. Its role is to liberate the mRNA from a stalled ribosome. The record is from RNAcentral. Lineage: Bacteria; Bacillati; Armatimonadota.